GAUGAACGCUGGCGGCGUGCCUAAUACAUGCAAGUAGAACGCUGAAGGAAGGAGCUUGCUCUUUCCGGAUGAGUUGCGAACGGGUGAGUAACGCGUAGGUAACCUGCCUGGUAGCGGGGGAUAACUAUUGGAAACGAUAGCUAAUACCGCAUAACAGUAGAUGUUGCAUGAUAUCUACUUAAAAGGUGCAAUUGCACCACUACCAGAUGGACCUGCGUUGUAUUAGCUAGUUGGUGAGGUAACGGCUCACCAAGGCGACGAUACAUAGCCGACCUGAGAGGGUGAUCGGCCACACUGGGACUGAGACACGGCCCAGACUACUACGGGAGGCAGCAGUAGGGAAUCGUCGGCAAUGGACGGAAGUCUGACCGAGCAACGCCGCGUGAGUGAAGAAGGGUUUCGGAUCGUAAAGCUCUGUUGUAAGAGAAGAACGAGUGUGAGAGUGGAAAGUUCACACUGUGACGGUAUCUUACCAGAAAGGGACGGCUAACUACGUG
RNAcentral lists this ribosomal RNA (497 nucleotides) under uncultured bacterium. Its description in RNAcentral is "partial 16S ribosomal RNA". It matches the Rfam family "Bacterial small subunit ribosomal RNA", at positions 28 to 507 of the family's 1533-position model. The record is from RNAcentral.